AUUGAACGCUGGCGGCAGGCCUAACACAUGCAAGUCGAACGAGUGGCGGACGGGUGAGUAAUGUCUGGGAAACUGCCUGAUGGAGGGGGAUAACUACUGGCAACGGUAGCUAAUCCCGCAUACCAUCGGAUGUGCCCAGCUGGGCUUAGCUAGUAGGUGGGGUAACGGCUCACCUAUGGGACGAUCCCUAGCUGGUCUGAGAGGAUGACCAGCCACACUGGAACUGAGACACUGGCCAGACUCCUACGGGAGGCAGCAGUGGGGAAUAUUGCACAAGGGGCGAAAGCCUGAUGCAGCCAUGCCGCGUGUAUGAAGAAGGCCUUCGGGUUGUAAAGUACUUUCAGCGGGGAGGCGUUACCCGCAGAAGAAGCACUGGCUAACUCCGUGCCAGCAGCCGCGGUAAUUC
RNAcentral lists this ribosomal RNA (406 nucleotides) under uncultured bacterium. RNAcentral's name for it is "partial 16S ribosomal RNA". It matches the Rfam family "Bacterial small subunit ribosomal RNA", at positions 30 to 526 of the family's 1533-position model. The record is from RNAcentral.